Molecule: ribosomal RNA, 31 nt
Filed under: Lonicera xylosteum
Lineage: Eukaryota; Viridiplantae; Streptophyta; Magnoliopsida; Dipsacales; Caprifoliaceae
Description: partial 28S ribosomal RNA
Source: RNAcentral
GCGACCCCAGGUCAGGCAGGAUUACCCGCUG